AAACCAUUCUCCCCCCUAAGUCCAGGCGAUAAAAAAGGAAAUUUUGGAGCAAUAGAAAAAGUACCGCAAGGGAAAGCUGAAAGAGAGAUGAAAAAGCCCAGUAAAGCUUAAAGAAGCAGAGCUUAAAGCUCGUACCUUUUGCAUCAUGAUUUAGCAAGCACUUUCAAGCAAAGAGAACCUAAAGUUUGUAACCCCGAAACUGAGUGAGCUACUCCAAGACAGCCUAUUUAUAGGGCGAACCCGUCUCUGUGGCAAAAGAGUGGGAAGAGCUUUGAGUAGAGGUGACAAACCUACCGAACUCAGUUAUAGCUGGUUGCCUGUGAAUUGAAUAGAAGUUCAGCCCCCUGGAUUCUCCACUCAUGCACUUUAUUUAACCCUUCAGACGCAAUGAGAAACCAGGGGUGUUAGUCAAAGGGGGUACAGCCCCUUUGAAACAAGACACAACUUUCCCAGCAGGAUAAAGAUCAUAUUCAAAUAAGGACAGAUGUUUUAGUGGGCCUAAAAGCAGCCACCUUAACAGAAAGCGUUAAAGCUCAAACAUGAAGCCCUCCCGUUAUACCGAUAACCUUAUCUUAAUCCCCCACAUUUAACAGGCCCUCCUAUGCAUCACAUAGGAACGACUAUGCUAAUAUGAGUAAUAAGAAAGUAUAACCACUUUCUCCUUGCACAUGUGUAAAUCGGAACGGACCCCCCACCGAAUCUUAACGGCCCCAAUCAAAGAGGGUAUUGGAAACCACCACAAAUUUAGGCCAGAAAAACAUCCAAUGAAAACCCGUUAACCCCACACUGGUGUGCCCAAAAGGAAAGACCAAAAGGGGGAGAAGGAACUCGGCAAACAUACCCCAAGCCUCGCCUGUUUACCAAAAACAUCGCCUCUUGCAUAACCACAGUAUAAGAGGUCCCGCCUGCCCAGUGACAACUUAGUUCAACGGCCGCGGUAUUUUGACCGUGCAAAGGUAGCGUAAUCACUUGUCUUUUAAAUGAAGACCUGUAUGAAUGGCAUAACGAGGGCUUAACUGUCUCCUUCCCCUGGUCAAUGAAAUUGAUCUCCCCGUGCAGAAGCGGGGAUAAAACCAUAAGACGAGAAGACCCUAUGGAGCUUUAGACACACAGGUGGACCAUGUCAAAUACCCCCAGCUAAGGGCCCGAACUAAAUGGAACCUGCCUUGAUGUCUUCGGUUGGGGCGACCAUGGGGAAUACAAAACCCCCACGUGGAAAGGGAGCACACCCCUAAGUUACUUCUUCUCCCGCAAGCCAGAGCAACAGCUUUAACAAGCAGAAAUUCUGACCAAACUGAUCCGGUAAAACCGAUCAACGAACCAAGUUACCCUAGGGAUAACAGCGCAAU
Molecule: ribosomal RNA, 1349 nt
Filed under: Myzopsetta punctatissima (sand flounder)
Lineage: Eukaryota; Metazoa; Chordata; Actinopteri; Pleuronectiformes; Pleuronectidae
Description: 16S ribosomal RNA
Rfam family: Bacterial large subunit ribosomal RNA
Source: RNAcentral